This 1403-nucleotide long non-coding RNA is filed under the name Rattus norvegicus (Norway rat). RNAcentral describes it as "long non-coding RNA NONRATT022098". The record is from RNAcentral. Lineage: Eukaryota; Metazoa; Chordata; Mammalia; Rodentia; Muridae.
ACCACACCACAUAUCAUAAGUAGGUAACACACUGGUUUUUGUCUGAGAAUCUAAAGUUUAUGUCUAAACUUGGCACUUAUAAGAACUGAAGAAAAAGGUUACGUAUCUCAUUUGAAGUUCUUAGUCAUUAGGUGUUUUGUUAGGCAAUUACUGUGUGUUAGCUACAAGUCUAAUAACACCACGAUAUUAACCUGUUAAGCAUUUUUUGGAAACAUGGCCAAAAUUACAUUUUGAGUUGAUUACUCAUUAUCCCCAUCACCAUCAUUUUGCUGUUAUACCUGCUAGUGGUUUACAGUGUUCUUCAAUGCGCUGAAAGUACAAGCAGUAAAAAGAUCCCAAGAGUUGAGGAUGUAGCUUAGUGGUAGAGGAUUUGCCUAGCAUGUGCAAGGUCCUGAGUUCCAUCCCCAGCACUGUAAGACAAAAACAAAAAGAAGCAAGACUCCAGUAUUUAGUAGCACUGACCAUUUCUAAACUGAUAGCUUUCAAAGUCUGGAAUACAUGGUGUGCAUCAGCUAUCUGGGGUCUUUUUAGCUUUUACCACAUUCCCCAAAGUUUGUGUUUUAUGUUAAACAUUAUAGAAUGUGUAUUCUGUUAAUUACGAUUUCCUGGGUUAUAUUCCGCACUGUAUAUAGGUACUUAGCUCGCCAUAUUUAUCUUUGUGAUAAUCUGUAUUUGUAUGGUUGGAUAGGUGGGGAAUUUUUUGCAGAAAUGCACAAAGAUUGGAUUUUACUUCCCACUGCAGGAAGUUCAAAACAAAACAGAACAUUAGCUUUCUGUAUAUUUUUCCAAUUUCCAGCAGACUGUUCUUUUUUAUUAGUUCUUUGGUUUUAGCAAAGAGUGCUUACUUAAAAGUUGCGAGGGCUCAUAUGCCUGGCUAUUGUUUUUGCUUCUCAAAUCUGCACAGGUUUACAGUCUUUGCUUUUGUUAAAAGUCUGAAUUGCUUUGCUAUUUGCUCCGUCCUCACAGAGGCAUUCAGUCUCUGUAUACUCUUAAAAGAAGGAAAAGCAAGGGAGGGUAUCUUCUUUAUUCUCAUUUUCUUUGAGUUGUUAACAAAAAUAAGUAUGAAGGACUACAACUAGAAGAUAGACAUUUAAAUGAAUUUAAAUAGACUAAUGGAAAGUUUUUACCUUUUUCUUUCUGUUUUAGAGACAGUUAAAAGACUGCUCCUUGUUCUAGGAGAUACUAGUGUAAGCUAUGGUUGCCUUGAAAUUAUCCUUUAUUUUUUUAAGGCCUAUAGAUACUAUUACCUUUAAAUUCUUUAAAGUAGGUAGGUUCAUGCCAUCAGCCUCUGAUGUAUUAUAAAUGGCAACCUACCUUCUUAUUCUGUUAAAAUUGUAUGAACACCUGUCUACUUAACAAACUUACAUGUAUGACAGUGUUGUCUACUUUGUCAUAGGCCAGUU